Molecule: ribosomal RNA, 1323 nt
Filed under: Myroides marinus
Lineage: Bacteria; Pseudomonadati; Bacteroidota; Flavobacteriia; Flavobacteriales; Flavobacteriaceae
Description: bacterial SSU rRNA
Rfam family: Bacterial small subunit ribosomal RNA
Source: RNAcentral
AGCUUGCUAUCUUGAGACCGGCGCACGGGUGAGUAACGCGUAUGCAAUCUACCUUAUACAGGGGAAUAGCCCAGAGAAAUUUGGAUUAAUGCCCCAUGGUUUAUUGAGAUGGCAUCAUUUUAAUAAUAAAGAUUUAUCGGUAUAAGAUGAGCAUGCGUAUCAUUAGCUAGUUGGUGUGGUAACGGCAUACCAAGGCGACGAUGAUUAGGGGUCCUGAGAGGGAGAUCCCCCACACUGGUACUGAGACACGGACCAGACUCCUACGGGAGGCAGCAGUGAGGAAUAUUGGUCAAUGGAGGCAACUCUGAACCAGCCAUGCCGCGUGCAGGAUGACGGUCCUAUGGAUUGUAAACUGCUUUUGUACAGGAAGAAACAUUACUACGUGUAGUAACUUGACGGUACUGUAAGAAUAAGGAUCGGCUAACUCCGUGCCAGCAGCCGCGGUAAUACGGAGGAUCCGAGCGUUAUCCGGAAUUAUUGGGUUUAAAGGGUUCGUAGGCGGUUAGAUAAGUCAGUGGUGAAAUUUCCUAGCUUAACUAGGGCACUGCCAUUGAUACUGUUUAACUUGAAUAGUAUGGAAGUAACUAGAAUAUGUAGUGUAGCGGUGAAAUGCUUAGAUAUUACAUGGAAUACCAAUUGCGAAGGCAGGUUACUACGUACUUAUUGACGCUGAUGAACGAAAGCGUGGGGAGCGAACAGGAUUAGAUACCCUGGUAGUCCACGCCGUAAACGAUGGAUACUAGCUGUUCGGUCUUCGGAUUGAGUGGCUAAGCGAAAGUGAUAAGUAUCCCACCUGGGGAGUACGUUCGCAAGAAUGAAACUCAAAGGAAUUGACGGGGGCCCGCACAAGCGGUGGAGCAUGUGGUUUAAUUCGAUGAUACGCGAGGAACCUUACCAGGGCUUAAAUGUAGAUUGACAGAUUUGGAAACAGAUUUUUCUUCGGACAAUUUACAAGGUGCUGCAUGGUUGUCGUCAGCUCGUGCCGUGAGGUGUCAGGUUAAGUCCUAUAACGAGCGCAACCCCUAUUGUUAGUUGCCAGCGAGUAAUGUCGGGAACUCUAGCAAGACUGCCGGUGCAAACCGUGAGGAAGGUGGGGAUGACGUCAAAUCAUCACGGCCCUUACGUCCUGGGCUACACACGUGCUACAAUGGCAAGUACAGAAAGCAGCUACCUGGCAACAGGAUGCGAAUCUCCAAAGCUUGUCUCAGUUCGGAUUGGAGUCUGCAACUCGACUCUAUGAAGCUGGAAUCGCUAGUAAUCGGAUAUCAGCCAUGAUCCGGUGAAUACGUUCCCGGGCCUUGUACACACCGCCCGUCAAGCCAU